This 204-nucleotide long non-coding RNA is filed under the name Elaeis guineensis (African oil palm). Its description in RNAcentral is "long non-coding RNA (EGUI_LNC049523)". The record is from RNAcentral. Lineage: Eukaryota; Viridiplantae; Streptophyta; Magnoliopsida; Arecales; Arecaceae.
UUCGGCGGAGCUCUCCCCCAAGAAGAUUUCACAGCUACGCCCCUCUCAAUGCUCCAAAAACUCAAGUGCUGAUGGAGAUCAGGGAGCAGCUGCCAAGGCCGAAAAAGAUGCGCACACAUCCCAAAAAGUAUAACCCUAACAAGUUCUGCCUCUAUCAUCAUGACCACGGCCAUGACACGAAAGAGUGUAUUCAACUCCGAGAUA